Molecule: long non-coding RNA, 1502 nt
Organism: Lathyrus oleraceus (garden pea)
Lineage: Eukaryota; Viridiplantae; Streptophyta; Magnoliopsida; Fabales; Fabaceae
Exons: 3
Source: RefSeq, a predicted model, not a curated record
AUUCGAUCCAAGUACUCUCUCUCUCUCUCUCUCUCUCUCUCUCUCUCCUCUCUCUCUCUCUCUCUCUCUCAGAGUGUAAUCGAUGUUGUUCACGGUUCAAUCACCGAAGUCUUGUUAUCCAUUUCUCGCAUUCGACGAAGCCGAAAAUCUUCAACCAACUCGCAUUUGACGAAAUCGGAUUGAAGCCAAAAAUAUUCAACUGACCCGCGUUCGAAGAAAUCAAAUUGACGCCAAAAUCUUCAACCAACUCGCAUCAAGUAAAGACGCGGAAUCGUGACGCCACACAUCCAAGUUAUGACAAGUUGAAGCAACUUAUCGGUUCGGCUCCGACGCGGUGGCUCUUCGGCAAACCACAGGUAGGUUCUGCUUUUUAUCCGUUUCUUCUUCAAUUCCUCUUCUCUGCGCCUCCAUCUUAUUCUUGCUGUGACGUCGUGGUUUGCCCGUGGUUUGUUUUAGCUUGCGUUUGAUGCGCAGGGCGAUAGUGGAUUGACUUACGGCAGGAUAAAAGUGCAGGACUUGCUGCAGAAUGAUGGAUUGGAAUUGUUGCAGAUCAAUGAAGGAGAAGCUGCAAAGUGAUGAAGAAGAGAAAUUGUUGCAGAAUAAUGAAGAAGAAGAUUGAAACACAACCGAGUUUUCUCUCUUUAUGAUGGAGUGAAGAGGUAUGGAAUGAAGCAAAUUGAGUUUUUUUUCUCUCUGAUGCAGUGAAGAAGAUGGAAUGAAACAAAUUGAGUUUUUUCUCUCUAUGAUGGAGUGAAGAGGGGAUGUUAAUGUUCUGUCAUGUCAAAUGAAAUUAUGCAGGGUGCUUCAUAUUAUGAACUUUGACUUGGUGUGCUGUUGAACGAAUUCACAAGGUUCUAUUUGGAGCCUUCACUUGGUAUGCUUUGUGUGCAAAAUGCAAGGUUCACUUGUCCUGCUGAAAUUGGAGGGUUUACUUGUUAGUUGGAAAUUCAAAUGGUGGGUUAAUUGUGAAUUCAAAGAUGGUAGAUUUGGCAAGGUGUACAAGUUUUACAACAUACAGAGAUGGGGAUGCCAUUGAAUCCCCGGGCUUGGUUGUAUGGUGGAAAGACAAGCUUGUUUCAAUAAAGCUAAUUUUGACAUAGGAAUACACUUCCGGAAUGAAAUCCUGGGCUCUUAGUUGGUGCACCUGUCCCGUUCUGGAAUGGUUAAUUCAAUGUACUAGUUAAUAAUUAGUGUUGAUUAUAUGAGUUCAGAUGGUUAAAGGGAGUUAGUUGAGUAUGUUAAUUGAUGGCUUGGAAAAUGAAUUGUUAGUUAGGCUUGGUUUUGAAUGCAUUAGAAUUUGAUGUUAUGUUAAAUAUUAUGCUGAAGGAAGCUAAGUGUAUGGUGUCCUUUUGUUUGUAUUGCAUAAGUUGCAGUAAGCCAAGUUGGUUCGUGUAUGGCUUAUGAUUUUCAUGGCUUUGAAUGAUUGGUUUUGGCUUGUAGGUGUGCAUAAUGUUAACUCACUUUCACUCUUGAAAGAAAUUUCAGCAUCUUCUUUCUCUUUC